UGAAACCAGGUUAGAUACCCCGUUAUACCGGGUCGGAAGUAAUAAAGUCUUGGGUAGUAGUAAUUAAUUAGUUUGAAAUCCAAAGGGGUUGGCGGUAUCUUAGUCUAGCUAGAGGAACCUGUCUUGUAAACGAUGCUCCGCGUAGUAUUUUUCUUGCUUUGGUUACAGUUAGUAUACCGUCAUUAUUAGACAGCUUUAGUCAGCAAAGAAGUUGUUGCAAUUAAGAGGUCUUAAGUAUAUUAGAUCAUGGUGCUGCUUAUGAGUAAGUAUAGAUGGGUUACAAUAAGUUCAAUUUAUUACGGAGCUGUAGGUGAAAUGCUGCAGGGAAGGUGGAUUUAAUAGUAAUGUGGGUUUAAUACGCCUGGGUGAGAUUAGCUUUAAGAUGUGUACAUAUCGACCGUCGCAA
This 406-nucleotide ribosomal RNA is filed under the name Eduarctus modestus. RNAcentral describes it as "partial 12S ribosomal RNA". It matches the Rfam family "Microsporidia small subunit ribosomal RNA", at positions 651 to 1204 of the family's 1311-position model. The record is from RNAcentral. Lineage: Eukaryota; Metazoa; Arthropoda; Malacostraca; Decapoda; Scyllaridae.